RNAcentral lists this ribosomal RNA (229 nucleotides) under uncultured Lactobacillus sp. Its description in RNAcentral is "partial 16S ribosomal RNA". It matches the Rfam family "Bacterial small subunit ribosomal RNA", at positions 134 to 354 of the family's 1533-position model. Lineage: Bacteria; Bacillati; Bacillota; Bacilli; Lactobacillales; Lactobacillaceae. The record is from RNAcentral.
GAGAUCGGGAUAACACCUCGGAAACAGAUGCUAAUACCGGAUAACAACAGAUGAUGCCUAUCAACUGUUUAAAAGAUGGUUCUGCUAUCACUCUUGGAUGGACCUGCGGUGCAUUAGCUAGUUGGUAGGGUAACGGCCUACCAAGGCGAUGAUGCAUAGCCGAGUUGAGAGACUGAUCGGCCACAUUGGGACUGAGACACGGCCCAAACUCCUACGGGAGGCAGCAGGC